UGUGUCGACAGAGUGGCAUAGAGGUUAGUAGGUGGGGGGCUAGGGUCGAUGGGAAUUAGUGGAGGUAAAGGGUGCGCAGGCGGAGCAGCAUGUCGGGCGUGAAAGCCCCGGGCUUAACCUGGGAAUUGCGUCCGGAACUAUGGAGCUGGAGUGUGGCAGAGGGAGGUGGAAUUCCACGUGUAGCGGUGAAAUGCGUAGAGAUGUGGAGGAACACCGAUGGCGAAGGCAGCCUCCUGGGCCAACACUGACGCUCAUGCACGAAAGCGUGGGGAGCAAACAGGAUUAGAUACCCUGGUAGUC
This 300-nucleotide ribosomal RNA is filed under the name uncultured Desulfomicrobium sp. RNAcentral's name for it is "bacterial SSU rRNA". The stretch from base 52 to 300 matches the Rfam family "Bacterial small subunit ribosomal RNA", at positions 547 to 795 of the family's 1533-position model. The record is from RNAcentral. Lineage: Bacteria; Pseudomonadati; Thermodesulfobacteriota; Desulfovibrionia; Desulfovibrionales; Desulfomicrobiaceae.